Molecule: long non-coding RNA, 386 nt
Organism: Carya illinoinensis
Lineage: Eukaryota; Viridiplantae; Streptophyta; Magnoliopsida; Fagales; Juglandaceae
Exons: 2
Source: RefSeq, a predicted model, not a curated record
CUUUUGCCAUUUUUGAAUUUUUGCAUGCUCUUAUCCUCUCCACACUCUCUUACAUUACCACUUGAGGAUUUCUCACUUUCUCACACUUUCUUUCCAACCAAACAAAGGAAGCUUUACUCGAGGAGGGAUUUUUGACAUUAGCAAGGAGGAGACAUGGACCAGAAGUAGAAAGUCAGGAUGAUGAUCAAGGCAAAGGAUGUGCUCAACUCAAAGAAUGAACAAAUUCAGUCAUGACCUACUUGGAGAUAGUUGAGAUUAGAAGGAUGCCUUAAUAAUUAUUAAGGCCUUUCAAGACAAAACUUGUUAUGAUGUAACGAGGAGUUUGAUACUCCAUUAUUGAGAAGUAUGAUUUAAAAGCUAUGAAUGAAGUUGAGAUAUUAAUUUUA